Molecule: non-coding RNA, 214 nt
Organism: Poecilia reticulata (guppy)
Lineage: Eukaryota; Metazoa; Chordata; Actinopteri; Cyprinodontiformes; Poeciliidae
Source: RefSeq, a predicted model, not a curated record
UGCUCUUCGCCUGACCCUCGGAUAAGUUUUGCUUUGUCCUGCCUGCCCCAACCCCUURCCCUCCUAGCUCUGUCCAUCCCUGGGUGUGCCACUUGUCACUACCACUGUGCUACCUGGACCCCCCAUCUCCCACAACACAAAGAAGAGGUUCCUGUUCCAUUGCUCGUGGUUGCCUGUCCCAUACCCUGAUCCUCAAUAAAGAACUUAUUUUUUA